AAGGACCCCGGAGUUGGAGUCUCAGGUUUGCUCUCCUUUGGGCCGCUGCGGGAACAGAGAUACGAAAAGAGCUUCAAGGGG
Molecule: non-coding RNA, 81 nt
Organism: Loxodonta africana (African savanna elephant)
Lineage: Eukaryota; Metazoa; Chordata; Mammalia; Proboscidea; Elephantidae
Source: Rfam